This 1302-nucleotide long non-coding RNA is filed under the name Macaca fascicularis (crab-eating macaque). RNAcentral describes it as "lncRNA (ENSMFAG00000058605.1)". The record is from RNAcentral. Lineage: Eukaryota; Metazoa; Chordata; Mammalia; Primates; Cercopithecidae.
GGUGUGGUUACGGUUCGUGGCGGCUCUUCUCCGUUGAGUCAUGGUCAUCUCCCAGCACCUGCUGUGUACCAGGUGCUGGUGGGAAGGCCGAGGAUGGGGGCCCAGCACUGUCCAGGCCCGCUGGGACCUGGCUGGGAGUCCUGUGGGCAGCGUGGAACAUGCAGCUGGGCUUCCUGUGACCAGGUGCCCUCUGGCACGGUUGCUUGCCCUGUGCCCUGGGCCUUUUCCUGCCCUCCUCCUUCCUCUGCUCCCUUGGGGCUACCCGUUGGACUCUCCUGGUCUGUGGAAACUUCCUCAGGGAGCUUCCCUGCCCUGUAGCACUCACUUAACUUCCUAGGGGGCUGCUGAGCCCAUCCAGAGGUUGUUGGAGCUCAGUGGGGCAGCUUGUCUCCCUUGGCAGCAGGGGCAUAAGGGCUGGGUUUGGCCAUACAAGGUUGGCUAUACCCUCAAUCCCUGACUGUCCCAGGCACUGAGCUCGGCACCCAAGGAAGGACAUGCUGUCCAGACUGUGUGAUGACUGCCAGCACAGGGCAUCUCGGGCUGGGCUGGGCUGUGAGGCCUUGCCUCUGUGGAAGAGAACUCUGGGUUCCUGUUUUCUCACUCACUCUUUGCGGCUUUGCUGUGGUUGGCAGCUGCCGUACUCCAGGCCUGUGGUGGCCACUCAGACGGGCUGUGGUGCGAGCCAGUGCAGGAGAGCUGGGUUUGGGAUUGUGCCCUCUUCUGUGUCUGUCCUCCAGACCUGCCCAGGUCUCCACCAUCAGGACCCCGUCUUUGGGUUUGGAAGACCAAGUAUGGGGAAGAGCAGGCACCAGCCUCUGCAGCAAUGGGUCCCUCUAGCCUGUGGACACCAGCUGGGUGUCCAAGGUCACCUUGGACCUUGGUCAAGGUGGAUCCAAGGUCAGGCCCUCUCUCCCCAGCUCCCCUCUGCUGUGGGUUCUGGGCUGUGAUGUCCCCACCACUUAAGGAUGUCUUCACACUGACUUCAGGACAGAUGCUGGGAAGCCUGGGCAUGGCCACGUGUUACGUGUACAGAAUUUUGUCUACAGCACAAAUUAAGUUAUGUAAACACAGUGACUGGUAUUUAAUGCUGAUCUACUAUAAGGUAUUCUAUAUUUAUACGACUUCAGAGACGCGUAUGUAAUAAAGGACGCCCUCCCUCCAGUGUCCACAUCCAGUUCACCCCAGAGGAUUGGGCAAGUUGACAUAUUUAUUUUUGUCUAUUCUGUAGGCUUCCAUGUCCAGAAUCCUGCUUAAGGUUUUGGGGUACCUUCAGUACUUUUUGCAAUAAAGUAUUUCCUAUCC